This 449-nucleotide ribosomal RNA is filed under the name uncultured bacterium. RNAcentral's name for it is "partial 16S ribosomal RNA". It matches the Rfam family "Bacterial small subunit ribosomal RNA", at positions 29 to 523 of the family's 1533-position model. The record is from RNAcentral.
AACGAACGCUGGCGGCAGGCCUAACACAUGCAAGUCGAGCGAAGCCUUCGGGCUUAGCGGCGGACGGGUGAGUAACGCGUGGGAACGUGCCCUUUGGUACGGAAUAGCCCCGGGAAACUGGGAGUAAUACCGUAUGUGGUCGAGAGACGAAAGAUUUAUCGCCAAAGGAUCGGCCCGCGUUGGAUUAGGUAGUUGGUGGGGUAAUGGCCUACCAAGCCGACGAUCCAUAGCUGGUUUGAGAGGAUGAUCAGCCACACUGGGACUGAGACACGGCCCAGACUCCUGCGGGAGGCAGCAGGGGGGAAUCUUAGACAAUGGGGGAAACCCUGAUCUAGCCAUGUCGCGUGAUCGAUGAAGGCCUUAGGGUUGUAAAGAUCUUUCAGUGGGGAAGAUAAUGACUGUACCCACAGAAGAAGCCCCGGCUAACUCCGUGCCAGCCGCCGCCGUAA